RNAcentral lists this ribosomal RNA (318 nucleotides) under uncultured bacterium. RNAcentral describes it as "bacterial SSU rRNA". It matches the Rfam family "Bacterial small subunit ribosomal RNA", at positions 476 to 794 of the family's 1533-position model. The record is from RNAcentral.
UACCUGAGGAAUAAGCACCGGCUAACUCCGUGCCAGCAGCCGCGGUAAUACGGAGGGUGCAAGCGUUAUCCGGAUUCACUGGGUUUAAGGGUGUGUAGGCGGGCAUGUAAGUCCGAGGUGAAAUCCCCGAGCUCAACUUGGAAACUGCCUUGGAUACUAUAUGUCUUGAAUAUCGUUGAGGUAGGCGGAAUAUGUCAUGUAGCGGUGAAAUGCUUAGAUAUGACAUAGAACACCGAUUGCGAAGGCAGCUUGCUAAACGAUUAUUGACGCUGAGGCACGAAAGCGUGGGGAUCAAACAGGAUUAGAUACCCUGGUAGU